RNAcentral lists this ribosomal RNA (253 nucleotides) under uncultured bacterium. RNAcentral's name for it is "partial 16S ribosomal RNA". It matches the Rfam family "Bacterial small subunit ribosomal RNA", at positions 524 to 776 of the family's 1533-position model. The record is from RNAcentral.
GACGUAGGGGGCCAGCGUUGUUCGGAAUUACUGGGUGUAAAGGGUUCGUAGGCGGUGUAGCAAGUCGGGAGUGAAAUCUCUGGGCUUAACCCAGAGGCUGCUUCCGAAACUGCUGUGCUUGAGUGUGGGAGAGGCGCGUGGAAUUGCAGGUGUAGCGGUGAAAUGCGUAGAUAUCCGGAGGAACACCGGUGGCGAAGGCGGCUUCCUGGACCGACACUGACGCUGAGGCGCGAAAGCUAGGGGAGCAAACGGG